GACGAACGCUGGCGGCGUGCUUAACACAUGCAAGUCGAACGGAAAGGCCCUGCUUUUGUGGGGUGCUCGAGUGGCGAACGGGUGAGUAACACGUGAGUAGCCUGCCCUUGACUUUGGGAUAACUUCAGGAAACUGGGGCUAAUACCGGAUAGGAGCUCCUGCUGCAUGGUGGGGGUUGGAAAGUUUCGGCGGUUGGGGAUGGACUCGCGGCUUAUCAGCUUGUUGGUGGGGUAGUGGCUUACCAAGGCUUUGACGGGUAGCCGGCCUGAGAGGGUGACCGGCCACAUUGGGACUGAGAUACGGCCCAGACUCCUACGGGAGGCAGCAGUGGGGAAUAUUGCACAAUGGGCGGAAGCCUGAUGCAGCAACGCCGCGUGCGGGAUGAUGGCCUUCGGGUUGUAAACCGCUUUCGCCUGUGACGAAGCGUGAGUGACGGUAAUGGGUAAAGAAGCACCGGCUAACUAC
Molecule: ribosomal RNA, 465 nt
Filed under: uncultured bacterium
Lineage: Bacteria
Description: partial 16S ribosomal RNA
Rfam family: Bacterial small subunit ribosomal RNA
Source: RNAcentral